This is a long non-coding RNA of Cyprinus carpio (common carp), 2741 nucleotides long. RefSeq lists it as uncharacterized. Lineage: Eukaryota; Metazoa; Chordata; Actinopteri; Cypriniformes; Cyprinidae. The record is from RefSeq and is a predicted model, not a curated record.
AAAAAAGAAAUUGUUCACUAGAUUGCUCUCACAUAGCCAGAUCUUCAGACUGAUGGCAGAAAGCAAUGGUCCGUGGGCAUGACGUCUGAGGCUGACAUUACUUUCCUUGUGGUGAUCACAUUCCAUGCAUUAUGGAAUGAUAACUUUGCCCAUUACAGUAGUCUUAACCUUAAAAAGUUUUUUUUUUCUGCCAGUCUUCAAAUUUUGUGCUGUUUUUACCAAGUUGGAUCAGAUUUUCAGUGGUCUGAACUGCACAAAAUUCACUGAACAGAAUGCUUUUUUUAAAAAAAAGUUAAGAUGUCGACCAAAAUUUGCAUCAGAGGCUGUAUCUCGGAAAUACUUUGAUCUAUUGAAAUGAAACUUGGUAGUCAUUGUCAGCAGGGUUCAUACCAUAUUUGGAAAGAGUGUGUCCUACAGGUCAUGAAAUCUAAAAAAUUGCUUUUUUUCCUUUUUUUUUUUUUUUUGCUUAUAACUGUUGAACAGUUUUGUCAGAAAGUUAUGAUUUCUACGUGUCUAUGUAUUUCUUGUUUCAUGGUGAAUCUGUAAUUAUAUAUGUUUUCUGAACCAUAUCUAUCGUUCAUGUACAUUCUGUUUCUCCUCUUUGUCUUCUUCCGGCUCUGCAUUGCGCUUACUGUACCUUUGGUGCUUGCAGCUAUAUUAUAUUACAUGUAUUUGAUGAGCUGGAUGAUGUGUUGGACCAGCUGCUCUUCUGUUUGUGUUGUUGUUCCUGGUAUAUGUUACAUGGGUUUGGUUUGAGUUCUUCCAUUCGGAUUUCUAAUGGUCAUCUUGUUGUUUAGUUGUUUUAAAGAUCUUUUGAAAGACCUCCUAUUUUGGUCUCCUAUUUAGACAUCUUUUGAGACAAGCUUGAUCAUUCUCUUGGAUGUACAUCUUAGGCUGAUCCCAACGAAAUCAACAAAGUGUUCUCAGAGACCAAACAGAAGGCAAGUAAAAAAAACUCUUUUCUGAUUCUACCAAUUAGUCCCGAGGACAGUGCUUAGAUAAUGAUAUUGUUAAAGGAAUAGUUACCCCCCCAAAAUUAAAAUCUCAGUUUUGAGUCAAAAGUACAUGACAGCAUUUUAAUUUUUGGGUGAACUAUCCCAUUUAGAAAGCUAUUUAGAGUUUUGCAGACCAGCUCAAAGUGAGUUGACAUUUAAAAAUUUUUUUUUUGUUCAAGUUUAGAUUCAUCAGGAUGCAUAAUAUGGAUCAGUGUGAUUUAAGUGAAGAUGUGACUCAGCAGACUGUUUCAUCUCCACUUCGGGACCCCGAACCCAGGGACCCUAGUUGUUGGACUUACUACCACAAACCCAUCUUCAUCUUGAUCGCUGGUGGACUAGCAUUAGCUGCUGGUUUUGUGAUAAUCCUCAACUCUAGAGGAUUAUUUACUAGUAAUUCUACAGACACAAUGCCUGUGGAUGAUGAAAUGGGUCCAUUGUGUCUUUCACUUGGGCUGAUGUUUGCUGUGCUCGGUGUGGUCUGGACACUGAUCAUAAAAGAAAAUGUAAAGCACAAAAGGCGGAUGAUCUAGAAUUAGAUAAAACAGUAGCCAAACAAUGUCACAUGGAAAACCUUUAUGUAAAUAUUACUCGUGUUAACAUUUUUAUUUUUACUUGUUGAUAUAUGAUUGUUGUCAUUUUGACUCGUGUAGUGAGUUAUGAUAGUCAUUUAUCUUCAUGACUGUGAUCCUGAUAAAAGCAUUACUUUACUGCUCAACAUCAAGGUUUGUUCACUUCAGUGUACUUUGAACAUCAUCUGUACAGAUGUACGUCAUGUUUCUCGCAAUCUGUACUUUUAGCAUUGUAGUCCUCUGGACGGACAAGCUGCAGUCUAGUGAUACAAUUCAAUAAAAAAGGACACUAAUAAAUGAUUGUGGCUAUGGAGAAAAAGCAUCCAGGAGUUGGUCGUUGUAAAUGUGCAUUUUGGUUUGCUGUUUUUCACGACAUUUUUGGACUUUUUGUCCUCCUGGUUGGUGUGUUUUGGGACAUCUUUUUCCACGACUUUUUAAUUUACGCUGGAGCUGUGAUUAUUUUCCUGAGUCUCAUCUGGUGGGUGUUUUGGUACACUGGUAAUAUUGAAGUGCCUCCUGAAGAGCUAGAGGAUGACAUUGCUCAAUACAAACGCACUAAAGGAAUUUCAGGCGUCAUGCGUAAAGUGUCCAGCAGUCUCUCCAACGGACUGAGGAAUUCCUUCAGGAGAAGUGGAAGAAUCAACACUCAGGCUGAAGGCUCUCAGGCAAACCGCACAGCCAGAGCAGAUCAACCUGUUACUAUUGCCAUGAGCUCCUAUCUGAAUACACAACCACCUGGGACGACCAACCAUCUGAACCGAGAUCCUUUAGUGAUAUAAUGUACAGUGCUCUGCGGGGAGACCCUCCUCUUCACAUCUGCAUCCAUGCGGCCUAGAAAUGACUUGCCUUUAAGUGCUUUAGAGAUCUUUAGGAUCAUCAGUUUUUUCGGCUACAUUUAUAUAUAAUUGUUCAUACAUAUAUUUUUUAAAAAUAUCGUUUAUGAUUUCCACUUUUAAUCCAGUUAAACUAAAAUAUGUUUGUGUUAUUUAAUAUAAUAUGCUAGUCAAAUAUACUUGAUUUUUAUCAUUUUCAUGUUGUGUUUUUGUGCUAUUUUUACUGUUGUCCUAAUAUAUCUAAUAAGCAGUGCUUGCUUUUAUGUGUUUAUAGCAGUAUCAGGAAUCUAUUAUUUGUGUGUUAUGUAUACAGACUUUUGCAAUUAAAAUAAUUUAAGAACAUA